RNAcentral lists this ribosomal RNA (494 nucleotides) under uncultured bacterium. RNAcentral's name for it is "partial 16S ribosomal RNA". It matches the Rfam family "Bacterial small subunit ribosomal RNA", at positions 28 to 507 of the family's 1533-position model. The record is from RNAcentral.
GACGAACGCUGGCGGCGUGCCUAAUACAUGCGAGUAGAACGCUGAAGGAGGAGCUUGCUCUUCUGGAUGAGUUGCGAACGGGUGAGUAACGCGUAGGUAACCUGCCUGGUAGCGGGGGAUAACUAUUGGAAAAGAUAGCUAAUACCGCAUAAGAGUAGAUGUUGCAUGACAUUUACUUAAAAGGUGCAAUUGCAUCACUACCAGAUGGACCUGCGUUGUAUUAGCUAGUUGGUGGGGUAACGGCUUACCAAGGCGACGAUACAUAGCCGACCGGAGAGGGGGAACGGCAACAAUGGAAAUGAGACACGGUCGAGACUACGACGGGAGGCAGCAGUAGGGAAGCUUCAGAAAUGGGCGAAAGCCUGACGGAGAAACGCCGAGGGAGUGAUGAAGGGCGUCGGAUCGUAAAACUCUGUUAUUAGGGAAGAACAAAUGUGUAAGUAAAUAUGCACGUAUUGACGGUACCUAAUCAGAAAGCAACGGCGAACUACGUG